GACGAACGCUGGCGGCGUGCCUAAUACAUGCAAGUAGAACGCUGAAGCUUGGUGCUUGCACCGAGCGGAUGAGUUGCGAACGGGUGAGUAACGCGUAGGUAACCUGCCUGGUAGCGGGGGAUAACUAUUGGAAACGAUAGCUAAUACCGCAUAAUAGUAGAUGUUGCAUGACAUUUGCUUAAAAGGUGCAAUUGCAUCACUACCAGAUGGACCUGCGUUGUAUUAGCUAGUUGGUGAGGUAACGGCUCACCAAGGCAACGAUACAUAGCCGACCUGAGAGGGUGAGCGGCCACACUGGGACGGAGACCCGGCCCAGACUCCUACGGGAGGCAGCAGUAGGGAAUCUUCGGCAAUGGACGGAAGUCUGACCGAGCAACGCCGCGUGAGUGAAGAAGGUUUUCGGAUCGUAAAGCUCUGUUGUAAGAGAAGAACGAGUGUGAGAGUGGAAAGUUCACACUGUGACGGUAUCUUACCAGAAAGGGACGGCUAACUACGUG
This 497-nucleotide ribosomal RNA is filed under the name uncultured bacterium. RNAcentral's name for it is "partial 16S ribosomal RNA". It matches the Rfam family "Bacterial small subunit ribosomal RNA", at positions 28 to 507 of the family's 1533-position model. The record is from RNAcentral.